UUUAUCAAGAGCGGUGGAGGGAACGGCCCUGUGAAACCCGGCAACAGCCUUCGGGCAAUGUGCUAAAUCCGUCAGACAUGUCGUCUGGGAGAUAAGU
RNAcentral lists this non-coding RNA (97 nucleotides) under Peptococcus niger. RNAcentral's name for it is "SAM riboswitch (S box leader)". It matches the Rfam family "SAM riboswitch aptamer (S box leader)". Rfam says of the family: The SAM riboswitch is found upstream of a number of genes which code for proteins involved in methionine or cysteine biosynthesis in Gram-positive bacteria. The SAM riboswitch acts at the level of transcription termination control. Lineage: Bacteria; Bacillati; Bacillota; Clostridia; Eubacteriales; Peptococcaceae. The record is from RNAcentral.